Molecule: ribosomal RNA, 279 nt
Filed under: uncultured bacterium
Lineage: Bacteria
Description: partial 16S ribosomal RNA
Rfam family: Bacterial small subunit ribosomal RNA
Source: RNAcentral
UGCCAGCCGCCGCGGUAAUACGGAGGGUGCAAGCGUUAAUCGGAAUCACUGGGCGUAAAGCGCGCGUAGGCGGUCUAGUAAGUCAGAUGUGAAAGCCCCGGGCUUAACCUGGGAACUGCAUUUGAUACUGCUUGACUAGAGUUUGGUAGAGGGAAGUGGAAUUCCGAGUGUAGCGGUGAAAUGCGUAGAGAUUCGGAGGAACACCAAUGGCGAAGGCAACUUCCUGGACCAAAACUGACGCUGAGGUGCGAAAGCGUGGGUAGCAAACAGGAUUAGAUA